CUCCAGACUCCUACGGGAGGCAGCAGUGGGGAAUAUUGGGCAAUGGGCGCAAGCCUGACCCAGCAACGCCGCGUGAAUGAAGAAGGUCUUCGGAUCGUAAAGUUCUGUUCUUAGGGAAGAAGUCUUAGGUUGUGAAUAAUGACUUAAGGUGACGGUACCUAUGGAGAAAGCUCCGGCUAACUACGUGCCAGCAGCCGCGGUAAUACGUAGGGAGCGAGCGUUGUCCGGAAUUACUGGGCGUAAAGGGCGCGUAGGCGGGAACUUAAGUUAGAUGUGAAAACUCCGGGCUUAACCUGGAGACUGCAUUUAAAACUGGGUUUCUUGAGGGCAGGAGAGGAAAGUGGAAUUCCUAGUGUAGCGGUGAAAUGCGUAGAUAUUAGGAGGAACACCAGUGGCGAAGGCGACUUUCUGGACUGUACCUGACGCUGAGGCGCGAAAGCAUGGGGAGCGAACAGGAUUAGAUACCCGCGUAGU
RNAcentral lists this ribosomal RNA (474 nucleotides) under uncultured bacterium. RNAcentral's name for it is "bacterial SSU rRNA". It matches the Rfam family "Bacterial small subunit ribosomal RNA", at positions 329 to 794 of the family's 1533-position model. The record is from RNAcentral.